Molecule: long non-coding RNA, 273 nt
Filed under: Elaeis guineensis (African oil palm)
Lineage: Eukaryota; Viridiplantae; Streptophyta; Magnoliopsida; Arecales; Arecaceae
Description: long non-coding RNA (EGUI_LNC039122)
Source: RNAcentral
AAGCCAGGUUUUCUCGGGUGGGAUCUUACCUUAACAACUCAUAUUAAUAUUGUCAUUACCCAUAUUGCUUUGAACCCUGACUCUUUUGAUUUAGUUUCACCCAUCAUUUGUGCCUUUUGUGGCCAUCAAGUAACAUGCCGGAUCAUUCAGAGCUUUGAGAUUGCAACUAUGAGAUCCUAUAUGAUCUCAACCUAUAACAGUACAACACCAAUUCCAUGUCACAUGUACCAAUGCCAUUCAAAUAAGGAAAAGCGUAAGUGCAUAUAGUCAUGA